CUCGUAGUUGGAUCUCGGUGCCGGUCUGGCGGUCCGCCUCGCCGCGGUCUCACUGCCAGUCCCGGAGCCAUCCCGCCGGCCUUCCCUCGGUGCUCUUUACCGAGUGUCUUGGGUGACCGGAACGUUUACUUUGAACAAAUUAGAGUGCUCCAAGCAGGCGCGUCCCGCCCGCAUAGCCCAGCAUGGAAUAAUGGAAUAGGACCUCGGUUCUAUUUUGUUGGUUUUCGGAACCCGAGGUAAUGAUUAAUAGGGACAGACGGGGGCAUUCGUAUUGCGACGCUAGAGGUGAAAUUCUUGGACCGUCGCAAGACGAACUACUGCGAAAGCAUUUGCCAAGAAUGUUUUCAUUAAUCAAGAACGAAAGUUAGAGGUUCGAAGGCGAUCAGAUACCGCCCUAGUUCUAACCAUAAACGAUGCCGACCAGCGAUCCGCCGGAGUUCCUCCGAUGACUCGGCGGGCAGCUUCCGGGAAACCAAAGUGUUUGGGUUCCGGGGGAAGUAUGGUUG
Molecule: ribosomal RNA, 506 nt
Filed under: Craterostigmus tasmanianus
Lineage: Eukaryota; Metazoa; Arthropoda; Chilopoda; Craterostigmomorpha; Craterostigmidae
Description: SSU rRNA
Rfam family: Eukaryotic small subunit ribosomal RNA
Source: RNAcentral